AGCUCCAAUAGCGUAUAUUAAAGUUGUUGUGGUUGAAAAGCUCGUAGUUGGAUCUCAACAGACCCGGGUCGGUUUACUUUGUGUAAUACUGAUCCGGUACUGUGCUUUUGCUGGAGGUUCAGGGGUGCUCUUAACCGAGUGUCUCUGAGUGCCAGCAGGUUUACUUUGAAGAAAAUUGGUUGCUCAAGGAAGGCUGUUAUGCCUGAAAAUUUGUGCAUGGAAUAAUAGAAUAGGAUGUUGAUCUUAUUUUGUUGGUUUUCAAGACUCGACAUAAUGAUUAAUAGGGACAGUCGGGGGCAUUUGUAUUCAAACGACAGAGGUGAAAUUCUUGGACCGUUUGAAGACAAACUACUGCGAAAGCAUUUGCCAAGAAUGUUU
Molecule: ribosomal RNA, 378 nt
Filed under: uncultured eukaryote
Lineage: Eukaryota
Description: SSU rRNA
Rfam family: Eukaryotic small subunit ribosomal RNA
Source: RNAcentral